RNAcentral lists this ribosomal RNA (254 nucleotides) under uncultured bacterium. Its description in RNAcentral is "partial 16S ribosomal RNA". It matches the Rfam family "Bacterial small subunit ribosomal RNA", at positions 524 to 776 of the family's 1533-position model. The record is from RNAcentral.
UACGUAGGUGGCAAGCGUUGUCCGGAUUUACUGGGCGUAAAGAGCGCGCAGGCGGUCGUACAAGUCGCGUGUGAAAGCCCCCCGGCUCAACUGGGGAGGGUCACGCGAUACUGUUCGACUCGAAGGCAGGAGAGGGUAGUGGAAUUCCCGGUGUAGUGGUGAAAUGCGUAGAUAUCGGGAGGAACACCAGUGGCGAAGGCGACUACCUGGCCUGUUCUUGACGCUGAGGCGCGAAAGCUAGGGGAGCAAACGGG